Molecule: small nucleolar RNA, 104 nt
Organism: Lemur catta (Ring-tailed lemur)
Lineage: Eukaryota; Metazoa; Chordata; Mammalia; Primates; Lemuridae
Product: small nucleolar RNA U13
Exons: 1
Source: RefSeq, a predicted model, not a curated record
UUCCAUCUGUAGCUCCGAAGCCUGAAGAUCGGGUGUUGAUGCCCACGUGUGAGACGUGUUUUCUCCCUCACACUGCGUUUCGUCCACACAUCACCCAUCUGACG